GAACGGAGAUAGGUGCUGAACGGAAGGUAGCUUGCUACCGGAAGUUCUUGCUUAUCUUAGUGGCGGACGGGCGAGUAACGCGUGAGCAACCUGCCCUUCAGUGGGGAACAACAGUUGGAAACGACUGCUAAUACCGCACAACAUCCUCUGGCCGCAUGACCGGAGGAUCAAAGGAGCAAUUCGCUGAAGGAUGGGCUCGCGUCCGAUUAGAUAGUUGGUGGGGUAACGGCCUACCAAGUCGACGAUCGGUAGCCGAACUGAGAGGUUGAUCGGCCGCAUUGGGACUGAGACACGGCCCAGACUCCUACGGGAGGCAGCAGUGGGGGAUAUUGCACAAUGGAGGAAACUCUGAUGCAGCAACGCCGCGUGAGGGAAGAAGGUCUUCGGAUUGUAAACCUAAGUUAUCAGGGACGAAUAAAAUGACGGUACCUGAAGAGAAAGCUCCGGCUAACUACGUGCCAGCAGCCGCGGUAAUACGUAGGGAGCGAGCGUUGUCCGGAUUUACUGGGUGUAAAGGGUGCGUAGGCGGGCUUGCAAGUCAGGCGUGAAAUCCCGCGGCUUAACUGCGGGGCUGCGCUUGAAACUGUAGGUCUUGAGUGAAGUAGAGGCAAGCGGAAUUCCCAGUGUAGCGGUGAAAUGCGUAGAUAUUGGGAGGAACACCAGUGGCGAAGGCGGCUUGCUGGGCUUUAACUGACGCUGAGGCACGAAAGCAUGGGGAGCAAACAGGAUUAGAUACCCUGGUAGUCCAUGCUGUAAACGAUGAUUGCUAGGUGUGGGGGGUCGACUCCCUCCGUGCCGGAGUAAACGCAAUAAGCAAUCCACCUGGGGAGUACGACCGCAAGGUUGAAACUCAAAGGAAUUGACGGGGGCCCGCACAAGCAGUGGAGUAUGUGGUUUAAUUCGACGCAACGCGAAGAACCUUACCAGGUCUUGACAUCCAACUAACGAGGCAGAGAUGCGUUAGGUGCCCUUCGGGGAAAGUUGAGACAGGUGGUGCAUGGUUGUCGUCAGCUCGUGUCGUGAGAUGUUGGGUUAAGUCCCGCAACGAGCGCAACCCUUGUUAUUAGUUGCUACGCAAGAGCACUCUAAUGAGACUGCCGUUGACAAAACGGAGGAAGGUGGGGACGACGUCAAAUCAUCAUGCCCUUUAUGACCUGGGCUACACACGUACUACAAUGGCCGUAAACAGAGGGAAGCAAGGGAGCGAUCCGGAGCAAACCCCUAAAAACGGUCCCAGUUCAGAUUGUAGGCUGCAACUCGCCUAUAUGAAGUUGGAAUUGCUAGUAAUCGCGGAUCAGCAUGCCGCGGUGAAUACGUUCCCGGGCC
RNAcentral lists this ribosomal RNA (1326 nucleotides) under uncultured bacterium. RNAcentral's name for it is "bacterial SSU rRNA". It matches the Rfam family "Bacterial small subunit ribosomal RNA", at positions 44 to 1380 of the family's 1533-position model. The record is from RNAcentral.